CAGUAUUUGAUUCAGUAAGCAGCUUAUCCUUAUCAUAUCCUCACUGCCAGUCAUUCUCCUUAUUGCAUAGUCAUAUCCAAGGACAUUAUGGGAAGCACCUAUUCAGCUGUACAGAGAGUAGUCCAUGCAGGCAGGACACAGUUUUACAGCAGAUACGUCCCACAGCCCAGUGUUAACCACCAGAUGAGGCUGAUAAAAAUCCAAAGUACAGCUCUGACACGGGACACCCACCCAAAUCAUCAGGGGUGUGGUGGCCCAAUGAAGCUGACUGUAGACGAAAGUCGGCCAGUGAAGUCGGGGGAGGUGCGUCUGCGACAGCUGAAAGUCGGACACUGUAGUGGUUUUCCAACCGCAAGGCUGAGAUCAACAUGGCAGUGUCAACAUAGCUGCUAUUGUUAAAAGUUUUUCUGUAUGAACGUCAAAAUAAACUUUUCUAUACCCUUAUAUCCC
This 450-nucleotide long non-coding RNA is filed under the name Salmo salar (Atlantic salmon). RNAcentral describes it as "lncRNA (ENSSSAG00000093488.1, ENSSSAG00020074840.1, ENSSSAG00075038278.1)". Lineage: Eukaryota; Metazoa; Chordata; Actinopteri; Salmoniformes; Salmonidae. The record is from RNAcentral.